AUUGAACGCUGGCGGCAGGCCUAACACAUGCAAGUCGAGCGGAUGAAGGGAGCUUGCUCCUGGAUUCAGCGGCGGACGGGUGAGUAAUGCCUAGGAAUCUGCCUGGUAGUGGGGGAUAACGUCCGGAAACGGGCGCUAAUACCGCAUACGUCCUGAGGGAGGAAGUGGGGGAUCUUCGGACCUCACGCUAUCAGAUGAGCCUAGGUCGGAUUAGCUAGUUGGUGGGGUAAAGGCCUACCAAGGCGACGAUCCGUAACUGGUCUGAGAGGAUGAUCAGUCACACUGGAACUGAGACACGGUCCAGACUCCUACGGGAGGCAGCAGUGGGGAACAUUGGACAAUGGGCGAAAGCCUGAUCCAGCCAUGCCGCGUGUGUGAAGAAGGUCUUCGGAUUGUAAAGCACUUUAAGUUGGGAGGAAGGGCAGUAAGUUAAUACCUUGCUGUUUUGACGUUACCAACAGAAUAAGCACCGGCUAACUUCGUG
RNAcentral lists this ribosomal RNA (484 nucleotides) under uncultured bacterium. RNAcentral describes it as "partial 16S ribosomal RNA". It matches the Rfam family "Bacterial small subunit ribosomal RNA", at positions 30 to 507 of the family's 1533-position model. The record is from RNAcentral.